Molecule: ribosomal RNA, 420 nt
Filed under: uncultured bacterium
Lineage: Bacteria
Description: bacterial SSU rRNA
Rfam family: Bacterial small subunit ribosomal RNA
Source: RNAcentral
GGGCCCGCACAAGCGGUGGAGCAUGUGGUUUAAUUCGAUGAUACGCGAGGAACCUUACCAGGGCUUAAAUGCAGAACGACAGAGGUGGAAACACCUCCUUCUUCGGACGGUCUGCAAGGUGCUGCAUGGUUGUCGUCAGCUCGUGCUGUGAAGUGUCGGGUUAAGUCCCAUAACGAGCGCAACCCCUAUUUCUAGUUGCCAGCGGUUCGGCCGGGGACUCUAGAGAAACUGCCAGCGUAAGCUGUGAGGAAGGUGGGGAUGACGUCAAAUCAUCACGGCCCUUACGUCCUGGGCUACACACGUGCUACAAUGGUAGGGACAGAGAGUUGCCAACCCGCGAGGGUGAGCUAAUCUUCAAACCCUAUCUCAGUUCGGAUCGGAGUCUGCAACUCGACUCCGUGAAGUUGGAAUCGCUAGUAA